GACGAACGCUGGCGGCGUGCUUAACACAUGCAAGUCGAGCGGGAACCUCGGGAGGGGUAACCCUUCCGAGGGGAGAGCGGCGAACGGGUGAGUAACACGUGGGCAACCUGCCCCGGACACCGGGAUAACCCAGGGAAACCUGAGCUAAUACCGGAUACUCCGGCACGAUCGCAUGGUCGUGCCGGGAAAGCUCCGACGGUCCGGGAUGGGCCCGCGGCCUAUCAGCUUGUUGGUGAGGUAACGGCCCACCAAGGCGACGACGGGUAGCUGGUCUGAGAGGACGGCCAGCCACACUGGGACUGAGACACGGCCCAGACUCCUACGGGAGGCAGCAGUGGGGAAUCUUGCGCUAAUGCGCGAAAGCGUGACGCAGCGACGCCGCGUGGGGAUGAAGGCCCUCGGGUUGUAAACCCCUUUCGCCAGGGAAGAAGGGAAACUGACGGUACCUGGAGAAGAAGUCCCGGCUAACUACGUGCCAGCCGCCGCGGUAAC
RNAcentral lists this ribosomal RNA (492 nucleotides) under uncultured bacterium. RNAcentral's name for it is "bacterial SSU rRNA". It matches the Rfam family "Bacterial small subunit ribosomal RNA", at positions 28 to 524 of the family's 1533-position model. The record is from RNAcentral.